This 243-nucleotide ribosomal RNA is filed under the name uncultured bacterium. Its description in RNAcentral is "partial 16S ribosomal RNA". It matches the Rfam family "Bacterial small subunit ribosomal RNA", at positions 524 to 766 of the family's 1533-position model. The record is from RNAcentral.
UACGUAGGGGGCAAGCGUUGUCCGGAAUCAUUGGGCGUAAAGCGCGCGUAGGCGGCCCGAUAAGUCUGCUGUGAAAGUCCAGGGCUCAACCCUGGAAUGCCGGUGGAUACUGUCGGGCUAGAGUUCGGAAGAGGCAAGUGGAAUUCCUGGUGUAGCGGUGGAAUGCGCAGAUAUCAGGAGGAACACCUAUCGCGAAGGCAGCUUGCUGGGACGACACUGACGCUAAGGCGCGAAAGCGUGGGG